RNAcentral lists this ribosomal RNA (253 nucleotides) under uncultured bacterium. RNAcentral's name for it is "partial 16S ribosomal RNA". It matches the Rfam family "Bacterial small subunit ribosomal RNA", at positions 524 to 776 of the family's 1533-position model. The record is from RNAcentral.
UACGGAGGGUGCAAGCGUUGCUCGGAUUUAUUGGGCGUAAAGGGUAGGUAGGUGGUCUUAUUUGUCUAGGGUGAAAUCCUCGAGCUUAACUCGAGAAGUGCCCUGGAAACGGUGAGACUAGAGUUCUGGAGAGGGUCGUGGAAUUCCCGGUGUAGCGGUGAAAUGCGUAGAGAUCGGGAGGAACACCAGAGGCGAAGGCGGCGACCUGGACAGUUACUGACACUAAACUACGAAAGCGUGGGGAGCAAACAGG